Molecule: ribosomal RNA, 460 nt
Filed under: uncultured bacterium
Lineage: Bacteria
Description: partial 16S ribosomal RNA
Rfam family: Bacterial small subunit ribosomal RNA
Source: RNAcentral
CCUACGGGUGGCAGCAGUGAGGAAUAUUGGUCAAUGGUCGUAAGCCUGAACCAGCCAAGCCGCGUGAGGGAUGAAGGUUCUGUGAAUCGUAAACCUCUUUUAUAAGGGAAUAAAGAGCGGGACGUGUCCCGGUAUGAGUGUACCUUAAGAAUAAGCAUCGGCUAACUCCGUUCCAGCAGCCGCGGUAAUACGGAGGAUCCGAGCGUUAUCCGGAUUUAUUGGGUUUAAGGGGUGCGUAGGCGGCUUGUUAAGUCAGCGGUGAAAGUCAGUGGCUCAACCAUAGAACUGCCGUUGAAACUGGGAGGCUUGAGUAGGGGAGAGGCAGGCGGAAUGCGCGGUGUAGCGGUGAAAUGCGUAGAUAUCACGCAGAACCCCGAUGGCGAAGGCAGCAUGCCAGGCCAUGACUGACGCUGAGGCACGAAAGCGUGGGGAUCAAACAGGAUUAGAUACCCGGGUAGUC